Mesocricetus auratus (golden hamster) is the source of this 604-nucleotide long non-coding RNA. RefSeq lists it as uncharacterized. The record is from RefSeq and is a predicted model, not a curated record. The transcript is spliced from 2 exons. Lineage: Eukaryota; Metazoa; Chordata; Mammalia; Rodentia; Cricetidae.
UUGUAGAUGCAAGUGUGAUGAGUACCACACUUUCUGAAACUAACGUCUGUUUCUGUUCAUGGCUCCAUAACCACGGAUCACUUAAAAUUAAGAUGCAGCUCUCAUGGGAAUGGGCAUUAGAGGAGACUUCCACAUAGGGAAACAGCUUCGUUGCAUGGUCUGAUGGUGUUCCAUGCUUGUUUUCUUUUGCAAGGUUCCACCAAGUUCUGUUGAUCUCAGAAAGCUGAUUUUACUUUGAUGUAAGGAUUUGAAAAUCCAGCUCUUGCCAUCUGAUAUAUUGACAUGGGAACCUGUCUAAUGAGAUUACUCCAGGGAUUCCCCAUCUCUACCUCCUGAAGUCUGGAACUGUAGGUGGACCUCCAUGCUUAACUGGAACUGUAGGUGGACCUCCAUGCUUAUCUGCAACUCUAAGUGGACCUUCAUGCUUAUCUGAACCUAUAUGUGGACCUUUGUGCUUAUCUGGAACUCUAGGUGGACCUUCAUGAUUACCUGGACCUCUAGGUGGACCUCCGUGUUUCCAUGGCUUUUCAAAUAGAUUCUGGGGAUCCAAACUGUGGUCCUCACACCCUCAAGACAAUUGCUUUAUUGCUAAGCCAUUUUCCCA